UGGAAGGGAGGAAGUCGUAACAAGGUUUCCGUAGGUGAACCUGCGGAAGGAUCAUUGUCGAAGCCUGCACAACGCAGAACGACCCGCGAACAUGUUUUUAACACCGGCAGGUCGGGGGUACGCGAGAGCGCAACUUCUCCCUGUCCCCUGGUCCGUU
Molecule: ribosomal RNA, 157 nt
Filed under: Tribulus subramanyamii
Lineage: Eukaryota; Viridiplantae; Streptophyta; Magnoliopsida; Zygophyllales; Zygophyllaceae
Description: partial 18S ribosomal RNA
Rfam family: Eukaryotic small subunit ribosomal RNA (bases 1-57)
Source: RNAcentral